GACGAACGCUGGCGGCGUGCUUAACACAUGCAAGUCGAACGGAAAGGCCCUGCUUUUGUGGGGUGCUCGAGUGGCGAACGGGUGAGUAACACGUGAGUAACCUGCCCUUGACUUUGGGAUAACUUCAGGAAACUGGGGCUAAUACCGGAUAGGAGCUCCUGCUGCAUGGUGGGGGUUGGAAAGUUUCGGCGGUUGGGGAUGGACUCGCGGCUUAUCAGCGUGUUGGUGGGGUAGUGGCUUACCAAGGCUUUGACGGGUAGCCGGCCUGAGAGGGUGACCGGCCACAUUGGGACUGAGAUACGGCCCGGACUCCUACGGGAGGCAGCAGUGGGGAAUAUUGCACAAUGGGCGGAAGCCUGAUGCAGCAACGCCGCGUGCGGGAUGACGGCCUUCGGGUUGUAAACCGCUUUCGCCUGUGACGAAGCGUGAGUGACGGUAAUGGGUAAAGAAGCACCGGCUAACUACGUG
This 468-nucleotide ribosomal RNA is filed under the name uncultured bacterium. Its description in RNAcentral is "partial 16S ribosomal RNA". It matches the Rfam family "Bacterial small subunit ribosomal RNA", at positions 28 to 507 of the family's 1533-position model. The record is from RNAcentral.